UACGAAGGGGGCUAGCGUUGCUCGGAAUGACUGGGCGUAAAGGGCGCGUAGGCGGUUCGUACAGUCAGACGUGAAAUUCCCGGGCUCAACCUGGGGACUGCGUUUGAUACGUACGGGCUUGAGUUCGGAAGAGGGUCGUGGAAUUCCCAGUGUAGAGGUGAAAUUCGUAGAUAUUGGGAAGAACACCGGUGGCGAAGGCGGCGACCUGGUCCGAUACUGACGCUGAGGCGCGAAAGCGUGGGGAGCAAACAGG
Molecule: ribosomal RNA, 253 nt
Filed under: uncultured bacterium
Lineage: Bacteria
Description: partial 16S ribosomal RNA
Rfam family: Bacterial small subunit ribosomal RNA
Source: RNAcentral